CUGGCUGGCUGGCUGGGUGUUGAUGGGCUGGGGUUUAGCACGCGAGGGCCCAGUCUCACGUUCUGGGGUCGCGGUCCCCGAAGUUGUGGAGCCAUGGCCUGCACCUUCCGCAGGUCCAUCGCCUCUCAGCUAUCCAGAGUUUUGGAUCUUCCACCAGAAAACUUGAUCAAGUCAAUAUCUGCAGUUCCAAUCUCCAAAAAAGAAGAAGUAGCUGAUUUCCAACUUUCUGUACAUUCUGUGCUGGAGAGCAGCAGUGGUCACUCAAAACCAGAUAUUCAAGUUCAAACCCGAAGACUAGCAGAGAAGCUAAAAUGUGAUACAGUAGUGAGUGAAAUCAGCACUGGACCUGGGACAGUAAACUUCAAAAUAAACAGGGAACUGUUAACAAAGACAGUGCUACAACAAGUAUUUGAAAAUGGUGCAAAUUAUGGAUUAAAAAGUGAACUUUUUUCUGAUCUUCCCCAGAAGAAGGUAGUGGUUGAAUUUAGUUCACCUAAUGUUGCCAAAAAAUUUCACGUGGGACAUUUGCGUUCUACAAUCAUAGGGAAUUUUAUAGCAAAUCUCAAAGAAGCAUUAGGACACCAAGUAACAAGGAUAAAUUACUUUGGAGAUUGGGGCAUGCAGUUUGGUCUUUUGGGAACUGGUUUUCAGUUGUUUGGCUAUGAAGAAAAACUUCAGUCCAAUCCUUUACAGCAUCUCUUUGAGGUUUAUGUACAAGUUAAUAAGGAAGCAACAGAUGAUGAAAAUGUGGAAAAAUCAGCACGUGAAUUCUUUCAUCGACUGGAAGAAGGUGACAAGCAAGCACUUUCAUUGUGGCAAAAAUUUCGGGACUUGAGCAUUAAAGAAUAUGUCCAGAUUUACAAGAGACUAGGAGUGCAUUUUGAUGAUUAUUCAGGAGAAUCAUUUUAUCGAGAGAAAUCCCGGGAAGUCUUACAGUUGUUGGACAAGAAAGGACUCCUACAGAGAACAAAAAAAGGAACAGCCAUAGUAGAUCUCUCGGGAAAAGGAGACCCUUCCUUAAGCUGCACUGUAAUGCGAAGUGAUGGGACUUCUCUUUAUGCAACCAGAGAUCUUGCAGCUGCUAUUGAUCGAAUGAACAAAUAUAAUUUUGAUUCAAUGAUAUAUGUGACAGAUAAGGGCCAACAAAAUCAUUUCCAGCAAGUAUUUGAAAUUCUGAGGCUAAUGGGAUAUGAAUGGGCAGAAAGGUGUCAACAUAUUCCCUUUGGAGUAGUACAAGGAAUGAAAACUCGAAGAGGAGAUGUUACUUUUCUGGAGGAUGUUAUAAAUGAAACUCGUUCAAGGAUGCUAGAAAAUAUGGCUUUUUCCAAGACUUUUGUGUGUCAAUAUUUUAUAGCAACUAAAGAACUGGAAAAUCCACAUGAGAUUGCAGAGAGAGUUGGACUUGCGGCACUCAUUAUUCAGGACUUCAAAGGUUACCUGUUAUCUGAUUAUAAGUUUAACUGGGACCGCGUUUUUCAGAGUCGAGGUGAUACAGGUGUUUUCCUGCAGUACACACAUGCCAGGUUGUGUAGUUUAGAAGAGACAUUUGAAAGUGGUCAUCUGAGAAACAUUAAGGCAGCUUGCUUACAAGAUCCACAGUCUGUUUCUAUACUCCAACAUCUCCUCAGGUAUGAUGAGGUGCUUUAUAAAUCCUCUCAGGAUCUUCAACCCAGGCAUAUUGUCAGCUACCUUUUAACACUGAGUCAUCUUACAGCUGUGGCUCACAAAACAUUACAGAUAAAAGGCAGACUCCCUGAAGUAGCUGAGGCCAGACUUCAUCUAUUUAAAGCUGUCCGUUCUGUCCUAGCCAAUGGAAUGAAACUUCUUGGAAUCACACCUGUAUCUAGGAUGUAAUUUAUAUGGAGGAGGAAGAGAAGGAGACACAAAGGAGACCACAAACCCAUAGAGGGAAAAGACUGGCAUAUGGUUCAAGCACAGAGAAGCGAGAGCAAGAAAAGGCACACACAGAGGCUGAAAACAGUCAUGUAAUGGCCUGGUUGGAAUGAAGAAAAAGGGCACGAGGACCAGAUAUGAACAUAGAAGAAAAUAGGCAACACGCAGAGGCCAGGAAUAGAUUUGCAGCACCCCAGCACUUGGGGACCAAGGAACCUACUUUCACUGAAGAAGUCUACUUUGACCAGGAAAUUGGGCGAGUAUUUUAAUAGACAAACAGGGAACUUACUUUGUUAAGGGCUAAAUCAGUAACUUUUUCUAGCUGAAAUGGGGUUAGAUAUUAGGAAAAUAUUCUUCCCUACCCCACUCCCAUCCUUAUCCCCACCCCCAAGGGGCGCUAUAGAAAACAUACUUAAGUUGAUCAAGGGACAAGGCUUAAUUGUAACUUGGGAACAGAUCGCUAGACUCUUGGGUACAUUAGAACACACGACCCCUUAGUUCUUAGAGGAAGAAGUAGAAAUAGAUAAUUGGAAGCUUGUAGGAGAUCAAUUAUGUGAAUACUACAAUGAUAAAGGUCCUCAUUCAGUUUCCAACAAAGCAUUCUAUAUAUACAACAUAAUACAAUUGGUCUUGAAGAAUCCUGCAAGUUAUGGAAAAAAGAAAAAUUUUCAUAACAGCCAGAUGAGGAAGUGUGAGGAAAAAGAGGACUAAGAAUGGAAUAAUGACAUUGCCAGAGGGCAUGGGGAGUUAAGUGAGGUUCAAGGGUAUGGUGAUUCUCCUUCUCCCAAGGAAGCUUCAAUUCUGCCUACACCUACAGAGCAGAUCCCUGACACACCCCCAUCAACUCCACCUUCCAGAAUAGAGGGAGGAGGAGUAGUGGGAGGGACAGUGAUACCACCAGCACCUCCCCCCCCCACCACCACCCAGCAAUCACCCCCCUCCUAUGAGUAGAUUGCAAAAGGCAAUACUUAAAGCCACUGAGGAAGGGAAGGAUAUAGCUGAUUUGAAAUUAGGUGUGUAUCCAGUGAUUCAACAGUUUAACUCUUCAGGUCAAGAAAGUAGAAAAUACGCUCCUUUUGAUAUAGAAAUCUUCAAAAACCUGAAAAAGGCUCGCACUCUUUAUGGGGCUACAUCAGCCUAUGUUAAGAUGUUACUACAGAAUUUGGCUUAUGAAGUCUUAACCCCUAGUGACUGGAAAUCUAUAGCAAGGACAUGCUUAGAACCUGGACAAAACUUGUUGUGGCUUUCUGAAUAUAGUGAGCUCUGUAGGAUACAAGCCCAACAAAAUAGUCAAAGUGGAGUUAAUACUCCAAUCAUCCAUGACCAAUUAAAAGGUGUAGGUUUUUAUGCAGACAUUUCAAUACAGAUUAAUUAUUCCAUAGCAGCAUAUGAGCAAAUUGCUGCUGCUACUGCUAUCAGAGCAUGGGCUUCCCUCCCAUAAAAACAACAAGGGUGAGGCCUUCACAAAAAUUGCACAAGGAUCAAGUGAACCCUUUGUUGAUUUUGUGGGAUGUUUACAGACAGCUGUCAUAUGAACUAAUGGUGAAAAUGCAGUAACAGAUAUUUUGAUAAGGCAACUUGCUAAGGAAAAUGCUAAUGAGGCUUGCAGAAGAAUUAUACUAGGACUGCACAAGGAUGCUCCUUUAGAGGAGAUCAUAAGACACUGUGCCAUAGUGGGCAUAAAUGCCUUUUAUAGCCAGGCUAUGAUGCAGACUUCCCAAGAUCCUAACAUGGAAAGACAGGGUCCCUUCUGGCAAGGGACUUCCAGAGAGACCCAUCAAUGCUUUCAGUGUGGUAAAGUAGGGCACCUGAAAACUCAAUGUUGGCAUAGAGACAGAAUGAGAAAACAGGGUGGGAGAACAAGACCCAAUACCCCAUGUCCAAAAUGCAACAGAGGCUUCCAUUGGGCCUCAGAAUGUAGGGAAUUCAGGGAAAUGGGAUGAGGGGCCCAGCUCCAGGCCCCCAGGCAAAAAACACUUGGGGCAUGAUGGCAGCCGAUGCUACAUCUAGAGAAUGCCUAUAAGUCCAGUACCCAGAUAUGACCAAUCAACUAGGAAGCCAUCUGAUGGGAAAAAGGGAUGGUGUGCCACAAGCAAUAAAAACAGACAAUGCAUACACCUCCAAACAUUUUGCACACUUUUGUGCACAGUAUAAGAUUUUACACACCACUGGCAUAUCCUUUAAUCCUCAAGGACAGGCAAUAGUAGAGAGGAGAAACAGAGACAUUAAGACGCUGCUCCAAAAACAAAAGAAAGGGGGAACCACAGGUAACCCUAGAAAGCUUCUAAAUCUAGCUCUUUAUACUAUUAACUUCUUGAUUUUUGACAAAGAUGCACUGGCUCCGGCAGACAGGUUUUAUAACCCACCGGAAGGGCAGUGUCCAGUGCGAGCAGCUCCACUAUCUUUAGAUAAUUGCCAGGUGAUGUGGAGAGAUCCAGAAAGUGGUGAAUGGAAAGGGACCAGAUAGGCUAACUGCUUGGGGGAGAGGGUUUGCUUGUAUCUCUACAGAUGGAGAAGGAAUCAGAUGGAUGCCAACAAGCCAUAUUCGCCUUGUCCAUCGGAAAGAGAUGGAGCAGACCCUUGAAACGAAGAAGAAGACCCAAGAAAUAUCAGGUGGUUCCAUUGCUGACUGUGUCCACCACUGAAUGAGCAUGGCAGUUAUGGCAUUUGACUCAUGGACUUCAAAAAUUGUUGGAUUUCAGCGAAAGAACUCUGGGAGAUGACUAAGAGCCAUUACAUAGAAUUCCCAAUCCCUAUAUUUUUGUCCCCUUGUAUUUUUUAUUUCCUUCACAGGCUAAUUGUACACUAUUUCAGAGUCCAAUUCUUUUUGUACAGCAAAAUAACUGUUUGGACAUGCAUACUUAUUUUGUAUUUAAUUUAUACUUUUAACAUAUUUAACAUGUAUUGGUCAAUCUGCCUUCUAGGGGAGGGGGUGGAGGGAAGGAGGGGAAAAAAUGGAACAAAAGGUUUGGCAAUUGUCCAUGCUAUAAAAUUACCCAUGCAUAUAACUUGUAAAUAAAAAGCUAUUUUAAAAAAAAAAGGAAAAAAAUGUUGGACUUCAAAAUCCUCAAGAAUCAUUGGAUCUCUGAGACAUGAUAAGACUGUUGUAGGACUUGAAAAUCUACAGGAAUCGUUGGAUUCCCUAACAUAUAAAAAGACAGUUACAGGACUUCAAAAACUUGUGAAGAUCAUUGGAUUCGCUGACACGUGAAGCAACAGACAAGAUAUUGGUUUUGGACUAUCUCUUGGCUGCUGAAGAAGGCGUAUGUGGGACUGUUGUUUACAAAUCCUCCUUCUAGGACUUCUGGCAAUCUUUUACAACACCAUGUUGAUUCAUAUUGUUUGUUAUGCCACUACUUGUGUGUACAAUUCAUGUUUGUUACACCACAUCAAGCCUGCACUGACUAUUGGGAGAGUCAUCACUAAUAGCCUGUGCGUUUUUGCUGUGUGCUUGUGUAAUACCUCCCAUACUGAUGGGUUUGUGCAUACCUGUUUCUAAUAAGACCCUUCAGCCCAGAAAACCACUAGCAACCCCCACUUCCCUUUGGUGCUUUUCAUCUCCCUUCCUGAGAUGUCAGGGAGGGCAUGAUCAUCUCCUUUUUAGGGCUUUCCCCUCCCUUCCUGAGAAGUUGGGGAAAAGGAGGGGAACAUGAUCACCUCUUUGUGUUCUAAAACAAAAGAAAGCGGGAGAUGUAAGGGGCUGAAAAUGAGCAGAUGCACUUGGACAGCUAAGCAUUUAAGGCUAAAUAUUUAUUGGACAAUACUCUAUUAGCAUGUGCUUGGAAAAUGGCCCAUCCCACUAUCCUGUGCUGGCUUUAUCUGUUGGUGUAUACAGAGAAUUGUAAGUGGAGAUUAGAGAGUGGAGUAAGACAAGGGAAAGUCACUUUUGGCUGCCAAGAGAGGAAGAAGAAAGAUGUGGAGAUUCCUGUCUCUCUCACUUCGACAAAGAAUAAAGACCAAGGGCUUUUGCUUAUCCUGAGUCCAGCUGAUUUUAAAGUAUCCAGGGUCUUCACAUUUAGGGGUUCUGAUUCCUCAGGAUAAUAACAAGAUCCUAGUGUUUCUCUUCUUCUACUCCCACUAGUUGAUAGGUUUCUCAGAGAACUAGCAGAGAUCCAAUUCAAGACACAAACCAUAGAAAUAUCAUCUCAACUUCAGGUCUCCUAGACCGAAACUUGAAACAAAAAUCAUCCUUCAGUAAACUUCAUUAUGAUUAUAAAUUCAA
Antechinus flavipes (yellow-footed antechinus) is the source of this 6115-nucleotide RNA transcript. It is a transcript of the gene named arginyl-tRNA synthetase 2, mitochondrial, with no coding region annotated. The transcript has 22 exons. Lineage: Eukaryota; Metazoa; Chordata; Mammalia; Dasyuromorphia; Dasyuridae. The record is from RefSeq and is a predicted model, not a curated record.